GACGAACGCUGGCGGCGUGCUUAACACAUGCAAGUCGAACGGAAAGGCCCUGCUUUUGUGGGGUGCUCGAGUGGCGAACGGGUGAGUAACACGUGAGUAACCUGCCCUUGACUGUGGGAUAACUUCAGGAAACUGGGGCGAAUACCGGGUAUGAGCUCCUGCUGCAUGGUGGGGGUUGGAAAGUUUCGGCGGUUGGGGAUGGACUCGCGGCUUAUCAGCUUGUUGGUGGAGUAGUUGCUUACCAAGGCUUUGACGGGUAGCCUGCCUGAGAGGGUGACCGGCCACAUUGGGACUGAGAUACGGCCCAGACUCCUACGGGAGGCAGCAGUGGGGAAUAUUGCAGAAUGGGCGGAAGCCUGAUGCAGCAACGCCGCGUGCGGGAUGACGGCCUUCGGGUUGUAAACCGAUUUCGCAUGUGACGAAGCGUGAGUGACGGUAAUGGGUAAAGAAGCCCCGGCUAACUACGUG
RNAcentral lists this ribosomal RNA (468 nucleotides) under uncultured bacterium. RNAcentral's name for it is "partial 16S ribosomal RNA". It matches the Rfam family "Bacterial small subunit ribosomal RNA", at positions 28 to 507 of the family's 1533-position model. The record is from RNAcentral.